ACAAAUUUCAACGGCCGUAGUGAGCCGUUUGCAAGUUUAACGGUGUAAAAAUAUCCAAAUCACGUGAAAUUUUGAUAAAAAAUUCUUUAUACUAUAUAAAACAAGAUCAAUAUCUUUGAUUUAAAAUUUUAAUGUCAUAUUAUUAUAUUUUGUAAGAUUUUUAUUUUCAGCCGUUGAUUUUGAGCCCCUUCGUUUACUAGGCAAAUGAUAUCGUAAAAUCAUAAAAUUUAGUUUCUAGGUACUUCAAAUACUCUAGAUCAAGUUUAA
Molecule: long non-coding RNA, 267 nt
Filed under: Ananas comosus (pineapple)
Lineage: Eukaryota; Viridiplantae; Streptophyta; Magnoliopsida; Poales; Bromeliaceae
Description: long non-coding RNA (ACOM_LNC036728)
Source: RNAcentral